GACGAACGCUGGCGGCGUGCUUAACACAUGCAAGUCGAACGGAAAGGCCCUGCUUUUGUGGGGUGCUCGAGUGGCGAACGGGUGAGUAACACGUGAGUAACCUGCCCUUGACUUUGGGAUAACUUCAGGAAACUGGGGCUAAUACCGGAUAGGAGCUCCUGCUGCAUGGUGGGGGUUGGAAAGUUUCGGCGGUUGGGGAUGGACUCGCGGCUUAUCAGCUUGUUGGUGGGGUAGUGGCUUACCAAGGCUUUGACGGGUAGCCGGCCUGAGAGGGUGACCGGCCACAUGGGGACUGAGAUACGGCCCAGACGCCUACGGGAGGCAGCAGUGGGGAAUAUUGCACAAUGGGCGGAAGCCGGAGGCAGCAACGCCGCGUGCGGGAGGACGGCCUUCGGGUUGGAAACCGCUUUCGCCUGUGACGAAGCGUGAGGGACGGGAAUGGGGAAAGAAGCACCGGCUAACUACGG
Molecule: ribosomal RNA, 467 nt
Filed under: uncultured bacterium
Lineage: Bacteria
Description: partial 16S ribosomal RNA
Rfam family: Bacterial small subunit ribosomal RNA
Source: RNAcentral